Molecule: long non-coding RNA, 348 nt
Organism: Zootermopsis nevadensis
Lineage: Eukaryota; Metazoa; Arthropoda; Insecta; Blattodea; Termopsidae
Source: RefSeq, a predicted model, not a curated record
AUUAGCAGUACGGAUAUUAGAACCGCUAUUAUCAUCUUUGUACUACCACCUUACAUCCAUUAAAGUUUUGAAUUAAUACUUCACAUGGCUUGACAGAGCAAAGUCUUAUUUUGGUAUAAACCAUCGUAAUAUUCUUCACUUGACCUUCAUGCGGGUGGGGUGUCUAAUGGCUGCCUAACUGGGACAUCAUCAUAGGGGGACUCCCCCAUGUGGCUGAAUGGCUUCCAGGGAAUUCUCCAGGUUGUCACAAGUUCAGGCACAUACCUGCACAGCACGUAACACAGCUCUGUCUUGCACAUUAAGCAAUGUCAGCAUAUGGGGCACUGAUUUCAAGGGAAUGAGAUGGAC